GACGGAGGGUGCUAGCGUUGUUCGGAAUGACUGGGCGUAAAGGGCGCGUAGGCGGCCGCUUGCGUCGGAUGUGAAAGCCCGGGGCUCAACCCCGGAACGGCAUCCGAUACGGGGCGGCUCGAGACUGAGAGAGGUGAGUGGAAUACCCAGUGUAGAGGUGAAAUUCGUAGAUAUUGGGUGGAACACCGGUGGCGAAAGCGGCUCACUGGCUCGGUUCUGACGCUGAGGCGCGAAAGCGUGGGGAGCAAACAGG
RNAcentral lists this ribosomal RNA (253 nucleotides) under uncultured bacterium. RNAcentral describes it as "partial 16S ribosomal RNA". It matches the Rfam family "Bacterial small subunit ribosomal RNA", at positions 524 to 776 of the family's 1533-position model. The record is from RNAcentral.